CCCACGGGGCGCAGCAGUGGGGAAUAUUGGGCAAUGGGCGCAAGCCUGACCCAGCAACGCCGCGUGAAGGAAGAAGGCUUUCGGGUUGUAAACUUCUUUUCUGAGGGACGAAGAAAGUGACGGUACCUCAGGAAUAAGCCACGGCUAACUACGUGCCAGCAGCCGCGGUAAUACGUAGGUGGCAAGCGUUAUCCGGAUUUAUUGGGUUUAAAGGGUGCGCAGGCGGACCAUCAAGUCAGCGGUAAAAUCGUGGGGCCCAACCCCAUCCCGCCGUUGAAACUGGCGGUCUUGAGUGAGCGAGAAGG
RNAcentral lists this ribosomal RNA (305 nucleotides) under uncultured bacterium. RNAcentral describes it as "bacterial SSU rRNA". It matches the Rfam family "Bacterial small subunit ribosomal RNA", at positions 338 to 658 of the family's 1533-position model. The record is from RNAcentral.